Molecule: ribosomal RNA, 301 nt
Filed under: uncultured bacterium
Lineage: Bacteria
Description: partial 16S ribosomal RNA
Rfam family: Bacterial small subunit ribosomal RNA
Source: RNAcentral
CAGCCGCCGCGGGAAGACAGAGGAUGCAAGCGUUAUCUGGAAUGAUUGGGCGUAAAGCGACUGUAGGUGGCUUUUCAAGUCUGCAGUCAAAUCCCAAGGCUCAACCCUGGACAGGCGGCGGAAACUACCAAGAUGGAAUACGGUAGGGGCAGAGGGAAUUUCCGGUGGAGCGAUGAAAUGCGUUGAGAUCGGAAAGAACACCAACGGUGAAAGCACUCUGCUGGGCCGACACUGACACUGAGAGACGAAAGUUAGGGGAGCAAAUGGGAUUAGAUACCCCCGUAGUCCCUGUCUCUUAUAC